CCUGAUGCAGCCAUGCCGCGUGUGUGAAGAAGGCCUUCGGGUUGUAAAGCACUUUCAGUUGUGAGGAAAAGUUAGUAGUUAAUACCUGCUAGCCGUGACGUUAACAACAGAAGAAGCACCGGCUAACUCCGUGCCAGCAGCCGCGGUAAUACGGAGGGUGCGAGCGUUAAUCGGAAUUACUGGGCGUAAAGCGCACGCAGGCGGUUUGUUAAGCUAGAUGUGAAAGCCCCGGGCUCAACCUGGGAUGGUCAUUUAGAACUGGCAGACUAGAGUCUUGGAGAGGGGAGUGGAAUUCCAGGUGUAGCGGUGAAAUGCGUAGAUAUCUGGAGGAACAUCAGUGGCGAAGGCGACUCCCUGGCCAAAGACUGACGCUCAUGUGCGAAAGUGUGGGUAGCGAACAGGAUUAGAUACCCUGGUAGUCCACACCGUAAACGCUGUCUACUAGCUGUGUGUGUCUUUAAGACGUGCGUAGCGAAGCUUACGCGCUAAGUA
This 492-nucleotide ribosomal RNA is filed under the name Alteromonas sp. QPT_2_25. RNAcentral's name for it is "bacterial SSU rRNA". It matches the Rfam family "Bacterial small subunit ribosomal RNA", at positions 382 to 866 of the family's 1533-position model. Lineage: Bacteria; Pseudomonadati; Pseudomonadota; Gammaproteobacteria; Alteromonadales; Alteromonadaceae. The record is from RNAcentral.